RNAcentral lists this ribosomal RNA (254 nucleotides) under uncultured bacterium. RNAcentral describes it as "partial 16S ribosomal RNA". It matches the Rfam family "Bacterial small subunit ribosomal RNA", at positions 524 to 776 of the family's 1533-position model. The record is from RNAcentral.
UACGUAGGGUGCGAGCGUUAAUCGGAAUUACUGGGCGUAAAGCGUGCGCAGGCGGUCUGUUAAGACCGAUGUGAAAUCCCCGGGCUUAACCUGGGAACUGCAUUGGUGACUGGCAGGCUUUGAGUGUGGCAGAGGGAGGUGGAAUUCCGCGUGUAGCAGUGAAAUGCGUAGAUAUGCGGAGGAACACCGAUGGCGAAGGCAAUCCCCUGGGCCUGCACUGACGCUCAUGCACGAAAGCGUGGGGAGCAAACAGG